This 66-nucleotide transfer RNA is filed under the name Urocitellus parryii (Arctic ground squirrel). RNAcentral describes it as "Spermophilus parryii (Arctic ground squirrel) tRNA". It matches the Rfam family "tRNA". From Rfam's summary of the family: Transfer RNA (tRNA) molecules are approximately 80 nucleotides in length. Their secondary structure includes four short double-helical elements and three loops (D, anti-codon, and T loops). RNAcentral also lists the same sequence under 2 other names. The record is from Rfam by way of RNAcentral. Lineage: Eukaryota; Metazoa; Chordata; Mammalia; Rodentia; Sciuridae.
GGUUGUGGCUCAGUGGUAGAGCGCUCGCCUAGCACAUGUGAGGCUCUGAGUUCGAUCCUCAGACCA